Molecule: non-coding RNA, 3123 nt
Organism: Manis javanica (Malayan pangolin)
Lineage: Eukaryota; Metazoa; Chordata; Mammalia; Pholidota; Manidae
Source: RefSeq, a predicted model, not a curated record
GGCGGGUUUCCUAAGGAGAAGCAGGCUGAACGGAGCAGUAAGUGCAGGCAGGCCUGGGAGCGGCCACAGGAGACACUGUUAGGGCCUGUAUCCUAUGAAUCAAUCACCCGAGACCAGAGAAGGAAAAGCCUUGUCUAAGAAAUCUACGAACCCAGGUCUGCAGGAGCAAUUUUCUUCACAAUAUACCAGGAAUUGAACUAAUGAAGCAAAUUAGGAAUAAUAACCACUGGCUUGUAUAGGAUGAACUGGAUUCAUUACAGAUACCACUGCACUGACCUCUGACCUGGACUGGGAAGGGUAGGUAUGAUUACACCCUCUGUACCUAACAAGGAUUGGAAACUCAGUCAUUUUGAGGUGCUCGCCCCAAAUCCCACAGUUCAUAAGGCAUGGAAACAAGAUUUGAACCCAGAUGCAUUGCUCCUCUGCUUUUUUUCCAACUGGCUAGCCUUCCUAAUGAAAUCCAUACGUCUGAGCUGAGCAGGGGAGUUGUUUCUCGUAUCACCAAGUCUGAUCCGUUCCUUGCAUUUUCCCCGAGUGCUUCCACCACCUUGGUAAGGAGAAUAUGAAGGCUUCCACCCCCUCAUGCACCUCUCCAAUGUAAAGUGGGCUCUGCGCCUCCAUCCUGUCGAAAACAACAGCAGUCCAGCCAGUGUCUGCAAAUGGUUGCACUGCUGAAGAGAUCAUCCCAGCGCCCUAAUGGUGUGAAAGCAAUUUCACAACCACCUAUAUCUGAGAUUCACACGCCAUCCAUUAGGCAGUCAGUCGGAGAGAGAACCCCUAACCACCCCUUGCUGUAUAGACUGCUGCAAUUAGGAACAAAAUGGAUGUGAUGAAUUCCAUAUCUUGCAAGGAAGUCAGCUUUCCCUGGAAAACCUGUUUGCAAAUGGUACCAUGCUUCUGCGUUUUUCCACUUUGUGAGUUUACCGCAUCUGCUCCUUAAAUAUAACAGCACAUAUGGUACCAUCGUUUUGCAAAGCGACAUAAAAGAAGAUGAAGAAACCAUUAGUCUCCCUGCUUCUGUUCCCCCACCAGCCCCAUGCCGUGUUGAGGAUCUCAAGUGCAGGGGCAUAGGAAAAAUUACUGACCCCCUGGGUGAGGGCCACACUACGCCCACCUUCCUUCACUGUGUCACCUGCCUCGUGUUUCAAGUUCUCUUCCACCUGAUAGUCCAAAUCCCAUUCAUCAGGGAUUAGUGGGACGCAAGAAGAACAUACUAUUACCAGAUGCAUAUUUUAACGAAUGGAAUUUUCACAAUUGCUUUACAUUGGUCAGUUUAAGAUGGGAAAAAGCUGUUCAAGUUUCACUUGGUGACAGAAGUUGGGGCAAUAAGAAACCUCUUAGGUCACCUCAUCCAUUCCUCUGCCAGCACCUCCUGUAUAUCAUCUGAGCUGACUUUUUAAAUGAAACAAAUGCCACCGCUGCCCAGGAAAAUCAUUCUGUGGCCUCAUAAAACGCCACCAGUAAAAAAACCUCCCCUGGUGUCCAGCUGAAAUGCUCUUUUCCUGAUUUGAUCCCAUUAGCUCUCAGCUAAUCGGGCUGCCCCAUAAAAUGACUUCUUACCGUGCACGCAUCUGGCACUCACCCCACUGCAGGAAGCUUAGAGCUGGACCUGGCGGGACGUGAACGGGGAGAGUGCUAUCCCAACUGCCACCACCUGGGUAGAGUGGCUCUGAGACCCAGAAACAUGGAUGGAAGCUGCAUAUGCUCAGGAUGGAAUCAGGCUGGGCACAGGAGCCUCCAAGGAACCAGGCUGACUUCUCCAAAGUUAAUUCUGCAACAGAGAGCCUCGCACUCCCCUGAUGUCAUGCAGCCAAUGUGCCAGUUGGGGCUGGUGCGGCAGCGCUGCAGGGGAGCUUGUGAGAGAUGCAGACUCGCAGAGCCCACUCUGCAGUGACCAAAUUCACGUCUUUACUUUAACAGUGUCUCAAGGUCAUCCCUGGACACAGCAAAAUUUGAGAAAUGCUGCAGAAAGCCCUCACUUUCAAACCUGACCGCAGAAGAAUCACUUGUGGAGCUUAAAAAAUUGUGAGUGCCUGGGUCCUGCCUCCAGAAAUUUCCACUUAAAUGGUCGGUGGCUGUGCAUAGGGUUUUUCUGGUAAUGUUCAGCAAAGGGUGGGAACCGCUGCUCCAAGCACCCCAGCCCCACAGGGCCUCCUGGAAGGCCGCUGCCCUCGCACAUGCUCAUCAGCCUCCUCGCAGCUCUCGCCAGGGUGCUGUGACACCUCGGACAGUGCAGGCCACCUUGCAGGGAAGCCUGGGGCGGGGACUGUGGGCUGGAACCCAGCUCCACCACCUUGGCACUAAACUUAUCUUUACGACAAGGACGAUAACGGCACCGGCACCUGGUGUGGGGACUAAACAAGAGACGCAAAAGGUGGCAGCUGAGCAGCGCUACUGCUCCCCUUCCAUCUGAAGAACCACUAAACCAACACUGACACGUCUCCAGAGGGGGAGGGGGGCGGCUGGCUGUCGGCCAGCACAGAAUUUCAACCAACUUUCAAAAGAUGGGAAAUGGCUGGAAGCCUGUUGGCAUGUGAACAGGCUGGGGAAGCUACCAUCCGCAAAAUGCAAGUGAGGGCGCAGGAAUGGGGUGUGAUCAGGUCCUUCCAGAACACCUCAGAGAGCUUCUGGGCCAAGUCAGCAGGACCAGGAAGCGGCAGAGAGGUGGAGAUGGAACCGCGGCAUCGCCCACCAGCCCCUGUCCCACUCGACCCUGGUGGGGUUGCCAGUUCGGGCUGCCUGGCCUCAAAGUGCCUUCUCCCACUGCUACCAGUCUGACUUCUGUGUCUCCAGUGUGAAGCUACUGCUGAACUUGUCACCCGUUCUGAGGUGUAUCUGUCCCUCGUAGAUGAGAGCCCCUGGACAACAGGGACCCCCCUUUGCCGCCCUGCUAAGACCGCGAGCUGCACAGUCCACUCAAGCCGCGCUUCUUGAAGGAAAGUGGUUUUUCCUGAUUUGCUUCCACCCUGAUCCAUGGUCUGCAAGCUUCUCUCGCGCCCAGAUGAUGGCUGCAUCCUGAGGGCUACUUUCUCUCAAGUAACUACCCUCCAUGUUCUUCUGGCCCUGCUACCCACAUACACCACCCCUUUCAGAAACCCUUUCUAACCAUUCCAAAUGUAAAAG